CGGACGGGUGAGUAAUGCCUAGGAAUCUGCCUGGUAGUGGGGGACAACGUUUCGAAAGGAACGCUAAUACCGCAUACGUCCUACGGGAGAAAGCAGGGGACCUUCGGGCCUUGCGCUAUCAGAUGAGCCUAGGUCGGAUUAGCUAGUUGGUGAGGUAAUGGCUCACCAAGGCGACGAUCCGUAACUGGUCUGAGAGGAUGAUCAGUCACACUGGAACUGAGACACGGUCCAGACUCCUACGGGAGGCAGCAGGG
RNAcentral lists this ribosomal RNA (254 nucleotides) under uncultured Pseudomonas sp. RNAcentral describes it as "partial 16S ribosomal RNA". It matches the Rfam family "Bacterial small subunit ribosomal RNA", at positions 99 to 354 of the family's 1533-position model. The record is from RNAcentral. Lineage: Bacteria; Pseudomonadati; Pseudomonadota; Gammaproteobacteria; Pseudomonadales; Pseudomonadaceae.